ACGGGACAGGUCGCCCCUUUCUUCCCUGCCUUUUCUACAUUUUUGUCAGGAAGUGGUUACUGUCUGACCCUAAUCGUGUAUUACUUGCAGCCAUCGCAUGGUAAAUUGGCCAGCAGCGGUGGCGGCUUCCUACCUGCGCUGGAAAUUGAGGUGCUUGAUGGCGAGGAAGAAGAGGAAGGCGAAGAGGCCAAUGAUUGCGAGAUGGAGGCAGGUCACCAGCUCAAAGUAGCGAUCCUGCAGGCCUAGGUACCCCUCCAGGAACUCACGCACCGUCUGCACCCCGAGCCCUGGCACCAGGAUCUGCUCCGUCCGGUCUGCGAGCUGUGAGAACAUCAGCCCGUAAACUGUCCAUGCCGCUGGAUCGGCCCAGUACACCCACCGCCACCACACGGGCAUCAGCUGCAGCAAAUUACUCAACUCAUCAGAUGGGUGUGUGUGAUAAGUACCUCUCUCGCGAUGAUGAAGCCAGAGAAGACGUUCCAGAAGAUGAAGAUGAGGAACGACAGCCCCAUGGCGAUCUCGAUGUUGGGGGUCAGGGCCACCGUCAUCAUCCCGUACAGAGUGUAGUACAUGAAGCUCAUCACCAGGUAUAGGAAGAACCAGAAGAACUUGGCCGCAGACAGCUGGAACCCAAUCAUCGGGUACACAAUCGAUGAGAAGAUCAGCACUUGCACCAACAUGUAAGGUUGAUCAUUGAUGUGUGUUGUUACCUGAGCGAUAGCGUAUGCCAUGGUGGAGUACAUGCCUGCCGCCUUUUCACGGUAGAGCACAACUCUCUCCAUUGCCACCACUGGCUGUAGGAUGCUGCAGUUCAUGAAACCCAGGAACAAUGCUGACCCAUAUACGAUUCCAAGUAUGUUGAAUACAUCUUGCUCAACCUUGCUGUUGCACAUGAUAUCUGUGUUAGAUCUUGAUUGGGGGCAUAAAAAUUAAUUUGAAAUAUUCAUGAAAGGUAAUUAUAAUCCACUUACAUGUUCGAGCCAAUUUUCCAGAAUACAACUCCAAACAUGAUUGAAACAGCAAAAGUGUUUAUGAACCGGACAACAUUGUGUUCUGAGUUUUUCCAGUAUGCACAAUUUUGCUUCCACAAGCAUGCCGCACAUUGUGUCGUAAAGUUUUGCCAGUAACCCUGAGGAAAAUGCAGAUCAUCUGUGUUUGGUUCUGGUUGUUCCAAUUCAUCAAUUAGAAGCCUGUUCUCCCUGCAGGUGCCACCAAAAAUUCCAUUAGAUUGACUUCCACCUUAUUGUUUAUACCAGCUAAAAUAAAGUUAUUGCAGCUUUACGGUUGUACUACUGGGUGUACCUGUACAGGGAGGAGUUGCGAUAAAUUUCUGCAUAGUCCACUCCAAUUUCAUAUUCUGUUAUGUGUGAACUGAUGUCUAACACCCAUGCUGCUGGGUUUUGGCCCUUGUUUAUUUUAGGAACGCCUGGUAUGGCCUGUUACAGAGUAAUUCAUUAUUUCUUCUCUAUGUAUCUUACAAAUAUAAAUGUCCAUCUUAGGCAAUCUUACCUCGAAAUACUUUAUCAUGUUGCUAGAGAGUGGACCUAGUGAACCACUGUAUAUAAGCUGACCACCUCUUUUCAUGAGCAGAAGCUGCAAUUGGCCAAAUUGAACUUAAAACUCAAUAACAACAACAACCGAGCCUUUUAUCCCAACCAAGUUGGGGGUAGGCUAGAGUUAAAAACCCAAUAAAACCACAAUCAAGUUUCGGGCACAUGAAUAGCUGUUUUCCAUGCACUUAAAAACGCAAAUUGAACUUAAAAUUCAGAAUGGCUAUUUUGUAGUGCCUAUGCCUACUUUAAUAAAAGAAGGACCAGUUUAUCAUGUAGUUCUUUGAUCGUUUUCUACUUUAGGUUUCGACUGCAUUUUACAACUUUAUGCAUACUUCUAUACACUUCAAUUUGUUUGUCAAGAAUCAUGUUUGUUUUACUUAUGUAAUUACUUUGACACCACUCCAGCACUGGACUAAUCAUGUAUUCAUGUUUCUCAAUUGCUUGGUGUGGCUAUAUUUUUGUCUACCUAUAUGGCUAUACCAUCUGAACUUGUUCAUACCUCAUCAAAAGAUUCAAAUAUCUCGAUGCUUGGCUGAUGAAUUGUGCAGACAACAGUUCGUCCAGUGUCUACCGUCUUUCGUACUGUUCUCAUGACGAUUGCUGCAGCACGAGCAUCCAAGCCGGUGGUUGGCUCAUCCAUGAAUAUAAUGGAGGGACUAGCCACCAGCUCCACAGCUAUUGUUAGUCUUUUACGCUGCUCGGCUGACAGGCCAGUUGCUCCUGGGAUGCCUACCAUGGCAUUCUUUAAGUCAGUGAGCUCAACAAGGCUCAUGACUUCUUCAAUGAACAUCUGAAAUGCAUUUGAAAAUAAAUUGUGUCAGGAACUAGGCUCCAUACUCCAAUGAUAAAGAGGGGUAAGGUUGAAACACAUACAUCUCUUUGAUGAGGUUUAACAUUUGAAGGCAGACGAAGCCAUGCAGAAAAUUUCAGUGACUCAUGAACAGUAAGAUUAGGGGAGUGAAUGUCACUCUGUUCACAGUAACCUGAUAUCCUUGAGAACGUCUCCUGCUUCUUAGGGUAGCCUGCUAUCUUAAUAGUCCCUUCAAUAUAUCCCCCAGUUUUCCUUCCAGCUAAUACAUCAAGCAAUGUUGUCUUUCCAGCGCCAGUUAUUCCCAUCAGAGCUGUUAGUACUCCUGGUCUAAAAGCACCACUGACAUCUUGCAGCAGCUGAAGCUUUUUCUCCGUUGCUCCAUUGUUUGCGAUCUCCUGGUGGGACAUUCGUUUUCUUUUCUUCAAUGUGUGAUUGGAAUUAAUGAAGCUACCAUUUAAGAUUUUAAUAAGUGAUCAAGAUUUUACCUUAGGCAUGUCAACAAAAUAGUGGAUAUGAUCAAAGACAAGGGAGAGGGGUCGAAAUGGGAGGAUAGCUUGAUCAUUUGAUGAAUUGCCAUUUUCAGCCAUCUGCCGGUGGUUCACGAAAUUCGCUUUUGUGGUCUUGAUGUUAAGUUGAUGUUUGUGUGGAGCUGCAAGUAGUAAACAUGGCAGAUAAUCAAUAUUUUCAUUUAAAUUGAAUAUUUACUAGGUUUGUGAUAGAUUGGUAACAUACAGUUCAUGAACUCCAAUGCAAAUAUGCUGAAUAUGUUGAAGACCAGCGAGUAUCCAAAUAAAAUGGCGACACAAAUCCAGUACCAGUGCCACUCUGUGAGCAGCCCUCUGAUCAUGAGGAUAGCUUCACCGACGGUGUUUGCAUUAUUAUAAUAAAAUUCCUAUCAGUAACAAAAGGUCAAGAACCUUAGUGUAAUUAAUUUGAAAAAGGACAUACUACCAUAUAGCUAUAACUUCCAAGUGUUGAAAUUAGUGCUUACCGUAGCCCAUCUUUUGUCAUGGAACUCAUUGAGGGCGAUUGCAUUCUGUGCAUAGGUGAAUGGGGACGUCCAAUAUCCCCAGCGCAACCAUGGUUGGAGAUCAUCUGUUUCAGUGUGCAGAAUUUGUUAGCAACUUGUUGCACAGAAUUUUUAUUAGAGUGUAUGUCGUGUACUCAUGUUUCAUGGUGUAUGCUAAGCUACAUUCACCUAACCUUUUGAUAUGACGAAUCCUCCAAGUAUGUAUAUUGCAAUAAGAGCUGCAGUCCCUAGCAUGUUGGCCAUCACUUGCGUCCUUCCUAUGGCCGCUAAGAAGCGAUACAGGCCCAUUGACAUUUGAUGCAUGGAAAAAAGUACCAGAAAGUGCUGGAAGAACCUGCCAUAAGCAAUGGAGAUCAUUUUCUUACUUCCGUCUAUUGAAGCACCAGAGGUCAUUCAGCAUAUAAGUACCAAGAGAUGAGUACCUGAUAAUGGAAGGUGCAUAUCCAAUCACAUAGUAGGUUAAGCAUGUCCAAAGGCCUGUCUCAAGAAGCGAUAUUGGUAUGCUAAUAAGGUAAACUGAACAAAGGAGUGCCCAUCCUGGCAAUGCUAGUAGCUCUCUUUGCUUGUAGAAGGAAAAGUGUGGAGAUCACCAAAGCCAUAACAGUUAUCUGAAUGGUCUUGAAUAUAUGGACUGGAGAGUUUCUUUUCAGCAGCAGUACUUCCCUUGAAAAGCAUGCUUUGAAAAUAUUCCAUCUGGAUAUUCGGCGACUUGCAUUCACUUUUACCACCUUUUUCUUUCCAGUAUUGUUUGAACUGCACUGUUUGUCUUCUACUAGAAGAGGGAGAUAGGACGUCCUGAAGGAUUGUGCAAAAUUUUCAAUUGUAUGGUACUGAUACUUGUUUUGAUCACCAGCCCAGUAUUGCUUUUGGUCCAUCUUAGAGGUUACCUGGUCAGUGGCCAAUUGAGAAAACUUGUUACAUUGUUUUUGCAAAAGGACAUGGAAAACUUGUUACAUUAUUUUGCAAAAGCACAUGUAUUGCAGAAUAGCGACAUUUUACGCUCCUGCACAUAAUUGUAAGUCAUCUACUUCCUUCUUAAUUUUGUGGAUCUGAUGUAUUAGUUAUCCUCAAACAGUCAAAAAAAAUAUCUCGAAACUUAUCCUCAAACACUGUUAUGUUUAGCUAUUCCUUCUAGGCAUCACUGUUAUGUUUAGCUAUUUCUUUUUUUCUCAAACACGCAACAUAUCAUUAUAUUAAGACGAAAGAAAAUUCUAGGCAGUUAGGCUCAUUUGAUGGUUUAUUACCUCUUGAAGGAAAUCGGCUACAUUCUUUCUGUCAGGGCAUUUGAAUCCCAUACUUUCAAAGAAGUCCGUAGCAUUUUCUCGAGGACCAUGAUACACAAUUUGCCCCUCACAUAAAAGUAUAAUGUCGUCAAAUAAUUCCAAUGUCUCAGGAGGUGGUUGCAGCAAGGAAAUAACCAUUGUGAGAUCCAUCAAAUGGGCCAUCUGUUGGAGAAACUUCAUGAUCUCAAAUGUCGUGGAGCUAUCUAGACCUGUUGAUAUAUCAUCCAUAAAGAAGCACCUUGCUAGACCAACCAGCAUCUCCCCUGCAUUAAACAACAUCACGUUAAUGUAUGCCAACUUAGGUUAGGUUCCAGUUAACUAUAUCUUUACUCUGUUCCUUAUUCUAAUAUUCUGGUUAGUUAAGCAUUCAAUUUUAGAGCUACUCAUUAUUCGUUAUCAUGAAGAUUCCUGCCCUGGUAAGAACCUUUUGCGUUCUUGAGGUGGUGGAAUGUCAGUUAAUGUGGCUUUGUUUCAGAUUGAAGUGUGUGCUUCCAGUGGCAGCUAAAUAAAUCCUAUAGCUAUGUAUUUUACAAUCAGCCAUGAUAGGAAUGCUUACCAAUUGUGGCUCUUUUCUUUUGCCCUCCAGAUAUUCCUCUCCUCAUCUCGUCUCCUACUAGGGUAUCAGCACACUCAGACAGGCCAAGUAUCUGCAUACAAUCAACUGUUACUAUUGUAUCAUCAAGCACAUUCCAAUGACCUUCAAAAUGGAAAGCUCACUAUAUGCAAGAGUAUGUCUUACCGAAUUCGUUAUUGGUUCCGAACAUCUUAGAAGAGAAGUUGAUUGUCUCCCUCACUGUCAUCUCAGCAUGAUGGAGAUCAUACUGGCUAACAUAAGCACGCAGGAUGCUGGGAUCCAAGUCUGUGCGCAUGAGGAGACAUGUACCUUGACGGCCGGAUGACCCCGCUUACUUCGUUUAUGAUUCUCAUAGGUCUUUUCCUGGUAACACACAUAUGGACAGACGUCGCUAAUUCCUGAAAGCAAAAUAAACUCAUCAUCAGAAAUCUCUCUCUCUCUCUCUCUCUUUUUCCCCGAAUAUGACCUACCAACUUUGCAUUGUAAAACAAACACAUGCAUGCCAUACACUUGUAUUUUAGCUCUCGCUAAAGCACGCAGCAGCGUAACCGUAACGAGGCGCGGUAUCCUUUCGAUUCUGGACUGAACUCCAUGUGUUCAAUUCGAACUGGCCUAAGGUUGUCUGCAGAUUUACAAACCCGCUUACAGUCGUGAUUUUGUAAUUUUUAUUUAUGUUUUUCUUACAGCAUAGAACCUGCUGAUGCAUCAAUGUCCCACUAUCUAUUUGGGCACAAGAUGAGCCUCAUUAAUCAUGAGGAAUCUAGCAGACGUGUUGGGUUCUCUUGGUUCACUCCCAGCGCGCAGGGGGACGCCAAGAAGCACUACUGAUGAUGCGGCAGGCUGGGGGAUCGGACAGGCCCACAUUAAAGGCGGUCUCGUCAACGUCAUGGUCUGCGCUGCUUCCUACCACGAGUAAAUGAGGAACUCGAAGCUUGGCAAGACUGAGGAGAGAGAGAAGAAAAGCAGGCUAUACUGCUAUAGCCAGUUUAGUCACAAGUUGAUCAUAAAUUAAUAAUAGAAAGCUAACUACAAAGAUCCGCCAGCAAUCCACUAUACAUUACUCUAAUUGCUUCUUUCAACGUCCUAAAUCUCAGGAAAUACUAUAAGAUCCAUGCAUAGUGCCAUAA
Zea mays is the source of this 6378-nucleotide long non-coding RNA. RefSeq lists it as uncharacterized. Lineage: Eukaryota; Viridiplantae; Streptophyta; Magnoliopsida; Poales; Poaceae. The record is from RefSeq and is a predicted model, not a curated record. The transcript is spliced from 6 exons.